AAAAAAAGAAGUAUUAAAACCUCUCUCCUGAAGAUGUCGGAAAACUUACAGUUUCCGGCUGAACCUCUGACUGUUAGAAAGCGCUGACACUGGAGACUCCUUCCGUAAACGUACUAGUGGAGCGUCCGCAGCGCAAGUCCCUGCGAAUGAGCUGUUUCUAUGGAAAUGACUAGCUGUCCUGUUGCUCUGAUCGCUGCCCACAGGUGUGUGUUAUUUUCGGCCGUCGCCCUGUACACUUCACUUUGGCCUGAGGAACAGAGGAACCAUAUCCAGUGCUUUAUUUUAUGAAUCUCCUCAAAGGUAGUGCAGAU
Ictalurus furcatus (blue catfish) is the source of this 311-nucleotide long non-coding RNA. RefSeq lists it as uncharacterized. Lineage: Eukaryota; Metazoa; Chordata; Actinopteri; Siluriformes; Ictaluridae. The transcript is spliced from 3 exons. The record is from RefSeq and is a predicted model, not a curated record.